Small nucleolar RNA from Echinops telfairi (small Madagascar hedgehog), 121 nucleotides. RefSeq annotates it as small nucleolar RNA SNORA61. Lineage: Eukaryota; Metazoa; Chordata; Mammalia; Afrosoricida; Tenrecidae. The record is from RefSeq and is a predicted model, not a curated record. The transcript has a single exon.
ACCCUCCAGUUUCCCUUCCUAUUAGAUCUAAACACUGGUCUGAAUGGUUAGAAAAGAAGGUAAAGUGAAAUUGAAACUGUCUUCAAUGUUUCUGUAGCACGCGGGCUAGUUUAAAACAAAA